RNAcentral lists this ribosomal RNA (496 nucleotides) under uncultured bacterium. RNAcentral describes it as "partial 16S ribosomal RNA". It matches the Rfam family "Bacterial small subunit ribosomal RNA", at positions 28 to 507 of the family's 1533-position model. The record is from RNAcentral.
GAUGAACGCUGGCGGCGUGCCUAAUACAUGCAAGUCGAGCGAACGGACGAGAAGCUUGCUUCUCUGAUGUUAGCGGCGGACGGGUGAGUAACACGUGGAUAACCUACCUAUAAGACUGGGAUAACUUCGGGAAACCGGAGCUAUACCGGAUAAUAUUUUUAACCGCAUGGUUUCAAAGUUGAAGACGGUCCUUCCGGCACCUAUUGAUGGAUCCGCGCUGCAUUAGCUAGUUGGUAAGGUAACGGCUUACCAAGGCAACGAUGCAUAGCCGACCUGAGAGGGUGAUCGGCCACACUGGAACUGAGACACGGUCCAGACUCCUACGGGAGGCAGCAGUAGGGAAUCUUCCGCAAUGGGCGAAAGCCUGACGGAGCAACGCCGCGUGAGUGAUGAAGGUCUUCGGAUCGUAAAACUCUGUUAUUAGGGAAGAACAUAUGUGUAAGUAACUGUGCACAUCUUGACGGUACCUAAUCAGAAAGCCACGGCUAACUACGUG